GCGCGAAAACUUUACAAUGCGGGCAACCGUGAUAAGGAAACCCCGAGUGCCACCACAGGGUGGCUGUCCACCAGUGUAAAAAACUGGUGAAGAAAGGGCCGGGCAAGACCGGUGCCAGCCGCCGCGGUAAUACCGGCGGCUCGAGUGGUGGCCGCUUUUACUGGGCUUAAAGGGUCCGUAGCUGGAUUCACAAGUCCCUUGAGAAAUCCAUCGGCUUAACUGAUGGGCGUUCAGGGGAUACUGUGGUUCUAGGGACCGGGAGAGGUGAGAGGUACUGCCGGGGUAGGAGUGAAAUCCUGUAAUCCCGGUGGGACGACCUAUGGCGAAGGCAUCUCACCAGAACGGCUCCGACAGUGAGGGACGAAAGCUGGGGGAGCAAACCGGAUUAGAUACCCGGGUAGUCCCAGCUGUAAACGAUGCGCGUUAGGUGUGUCAGUGAUCACGUGUCACUGAGAUGCCGAAGGGAAACCGUGAAACGCGCCGCCUGGGGAGUACGGUCGCAAGGCUGAAACUUAAAGGAAUUGGCGGGGGA
This 532-nucleotide ribosomal RNA is filed under the name uncultured Methanomicrobiales archaeon. RNAcentral's name for it is "bacterial SSU rRNA". It matches the Rfam family "Archaeal small subunit ribosomal RNA", at positions 339 to 875 of the family's 1478-position model. The record is from RNAcentral. Lineage: Archaea; Methanobacteriati; Methanobacteriota; Methanomicrobia; Methanomicrobiales.